Molecule: ribosomal RNA, 1243 nt
Filed under: metagenome
Description: bacterial LSU rRNA
Rfam family: Bacterial large subunit ribosomal RNA
Source: RNAcentral
UGAAUACGAGACGCUAAGGCGUCGAAGUAGUGUAUGUCAGACUUCCAAGAAAAGCUCGCACUGUCAUAGGUAAAAAAUGCCUGUACCAUAACCGACACAGGUGGGUAGGUAGAGUAUACUAAGGGGCGCGAGAUAACUCUCUCUAAGGAACUCGGCAAAAUGACUCCGUAACUUCGGGAGAAGGAGUGCCUUAUUUAUAAGGUUGCAAUAACAAGAUCCAAGCAACUGUUUACCAAAAACACAGGUCUCCGCUAAGUCGUAAGACGAUGUAUGGGGGCUGACGCCUGCCCAGUGCCAGAAGGUUAAAGAAGUUGGUUAGCAUUCGCGAAGCUGAUAACUGAAGCCCUGGUGAACGGCGGCCGUAACGAUAACGGUCCUAAGGUAGCGAAAUUCCUUGUCGGGUAAGUUCCGACCCGCACGAAAGGCGUAAUGAUUUGGAUACUGUCUCGGAGAGAGGCUCGGUGAAAUAGACUUGUCUGUGAAGAUGCGGACUACCUGCACCUGGACAGAAAGACCCUAUGAAGCUUUACUGUAACUUGAAAUUGAAAUUGGACUUUAGUCGCGCAGCAUAGGUGGGAAGCGUUGAGCAUAUUCUUGCGGGAAUAUAGGAGCUAUCAGUGAGAUACCACUCUUCUAAUGUUAGAUUUCUAACCUUGAACCAUUAUCUGGUCAAGGAACAGUUUCAGGCGGGCAGUUUGACUGGGGCGGUCGCCUCCCAAAUGGUAACGGAGGCGUACAAAGGUUUCCUCUGAACGGAUAGAAAUCGUAUCUAGAGUAUAAAGGCAUAAGGAAGCUUGACUGUGAGACCUACAAGUCGAGCAGGGACGAAAGUCGGUCUUAGUGAUCUGACGGUACUGAGUGGAAAGGCCGUCACUCAACGGAUAAAAGUUACUCUAAGGAUAACAGGCUGAUCUCCCCCAAGAGUUCACAUCGACGGGGAGGUUUGGCACCUUGAUGUCGGCUCAUCGCAUCCUGGGGCGGUAGUACGUCCCAAGGGUUGGGCUGUUCGCCCAUGAAAGCGGUACGCGAGCUGGGUUCAGAACGUCGUGAGACAGUUCGGUCCAUAUCCGGUGUAGGCGUUAGAAUAUUGAGAGGAGCCUUCUUUAGUACGAGAGGACCGAGAAGGACAUACCUCUGGUGUACCAGUUAUCGUGCCAACGGUAAACGCUGGGUAGCUAUGUAUGGAGUGGAUAACCGCUGAAAGCAUCCAAGUGGGAAGCCCACCUCAAGAUGAGUAUUCUCA